Molecule: transfer RNA, 63 nt
Filed under: Enchiridium sp. MTA_2015
Lineage: Eukaryota; Metazoa; Platyhelminthes; Polycladida; Prosthiostomidae
Description: tRNA-Cys
Source: RNAcentral
GGGUUGAAAGCAUAGUUUUGCGUUGAAUUGCAGAUUCAAAGAUUGUAUUUUUUACUCAGCCUU